RNAcentral lists this small RNA (111 nucleotides) under Escherichia coli. RNAcentral's name for it is "partial RtT sRNA". It matches the Rfam family "RtT RNA", at positions 23 to 130 of the family's 130-position model. From Rfam's summary of the family: This family represents a bacterial cis-regulatory element known as RtT RNA. The exact function of RtT is unknown although it is thought that it may be involved in changing the cellular response in relation to amino acid starvation. Lineage: Bacteria; Pseudomonadati; Pseudomonadota; Gammaproteobacteria; Enterobacterales; Enterobacteriaceae. RNAcentral also lists the same sequence under 2 other names. The record is from RNAcentral.
UCAAAGAUUCGAACCUGCAGCAGGUUUGAGUUGAGCGCAGCGAAACAACGGAGCCGCUCGCGGCGACGGCCCGAAGGGCGAGCGAAGCGAGUCAUCCUGCACGACCCACCA